Molecule: ribosomal RNA, 253 nt
Filed under: uncultured bacterium
Lineage: Bacteria
Description: partial 16S ribosomal RNA
Rfam family: Bacterial small subunit ribosomal RNA
Source: RNAcentral
CGGGGUGAGUAACGCGUGAGGAACCUGCCGUUUCAGAGGGGGACAACAGUUGGAAACGACUGCUAAUACCGCAUAACACAUAGGUGUCGCAUGGCAUUUAUGUCAAAGAUUUAUCGCUGAAAGAUGGCCUCGCGUCUGAUUAGCUAGUUGGUAGGGUAACGGCCUACCAAGGCGACGAUCAGUAGCCGGACUGAGAGGUUGGCCGGCCACAUUGGGACUGAGAUACGGCCCAGACUCCUACGGAAGGCAGCAG